Molecule: ribosomal RNA, 466 nt
Filed under: uncultured bacterium
Lineage: Bacteria
Description: bacterial SSU rRNA
Rfam family: Bacterial small subunit ribosomal RNA
Source: RNAcentral
GGAGGAAAGUAGGGGAUCGAAAGACCUUGCGCUUAAGGAGCGGCCGAUGUCUGAUUAGCUAGUUGGUGGGGUAAAGGCCUACCCAAGGCGACGAUCAGUAGUUGGUCUGAGAGGACGACCAACCACACUGGGACUGAGACACGGCCCAGACUCCUACGGGAGGCAGCAGUGGGGAAUUUUGGACAAUGGGCGCAAGCCUGAUCCAGCCAUGCCGCGUGAGUGAAGAAGGCCUUCGGGUUGUAAAGCUCUUUCAGUUGGGAAGAAACGAUUGCAACUAAUAAUUGUAAUUAAUGACGGUACCGACAGAAGAAGCACCGGCUAACUACGUGCCAGCAGCCGCGGUAAUACGUAGGGUGCGAGCGUUAAUCGGAAUUACUGGGCGUAAAGGGUGCGCAGGCGGUUUUGUAAGUCAGAUGUGAAAUGCCCCGGCUUAACCUGGGAAUGGCGUUUGAAACUACAAAGCUAG